AGGCACGUAGCUCAACUGGAUAGAGCACCGCAAUUUUUACACGGAUGGACACGGGUUCAAUUCCCGUCGUGUUCU
RNAcentral lists this transfer RNA (75 nucleotides) under Phytophthora megakarya. It matches the Rfam family "tRNA". Rfam says of the family: Transfer RNA (tRNA) molecules are approximately 80 nucleotides in length. Their secondary structure includes four short double-helical elements and three loops (D, anti-codon, and T loops). Lineage: Eukaryota; Oomycota; Peronosporomycetes; Peronosporales; Peronosporaceae. The record is from Rfam by way of RNAcentral.